RNAcentral lists this transfer-messenger RNA (367 nucleotides) under Hyphomicrobiales bacterium. It matches the Rfam family "Alphaproteobacteria transfer-messenger RNA". Rfam says of the family: Bacterial tmRNA, also known as 10Sa RNA or SsrA, is named for its dual tRNA and mRNA-like properties. Its role is to liberate the mRNA from a stalled ribosome. Lineage: Bacteria; Pseudomonadati; Pseudomonadota; Alphaproteobacteria; Hyphomicrobiales. The record is from RNAcentral.
UGCUUUGAAAACCGUCCCGUCCGCGCUUAUAUUGGUUCUGCCGGGCAACCGGCUAUGGCGAUAAACUGUCAUCGUAAUAAACCAUUCGGACCCGGGGGCGGUACCCGGCGCCUCCACCAUAAGCCGUUGCAACCCAGUACGCUUGGGACGGUUUUUGUGGGGGCGAAAUAGGAUCGACGAGGGUGUAAAGGGUGUGCUUUCGCUCGGCAUGGUACCGCCGUUAUCGGACCAAUUUGUAGUUGCAAACGACAACUAUGCUCCGGUUGCACAGGCUGCGUAACGCAGUUUGUAAUGCCGACUUAAACUCCCACUAGGUUAGCCCCUGGUGGUCGGGGUCCGCAGGCACCUGGCAACAGAAGCCUGCACU